UACGUAGGGGGCAAGCGUUGUCCGGAUUCAUUGGGCGUAAAGAGCGUGUAGGCGGCCAGGUAGGUCGGUUGUGAAAACUGGAGGCUCAACCUUCAGAGGUCGACCGAAACCAUCUGGCUAGAGUCCGGGAGAGGAGAGUGGAAUUCCUGGUGUAGCGGUGAAAUGCGCAGAUAUCAGGAGGAACACCAGCGGCGAAGGCGGUGCUCUGGGCCGGAACUGACACUGAGGAGCGAAAGCGUGGGUAGCAAACAGG
Molecule: ribosomal RNA, 253 nt
Filed under: uncultured bacterium
Lineage: Bacteria
Description: partial 16S ribosomal RNA
Rfam family: Bacterial small subunit ribosomal RNA
Source: RNAcentral